UCGAUGCGAUCCCUUGGGA
RNAcentral lists this microRNA (19 nucleotides) under Prunus persica (peach). RNAcentral describes it as "microRNA miRNA_295". Lineage: Eukaryota; Viridiplantae; Streptophyta; Magnoliopsida; Rosales; Rosaceae. The record is from RNAcentral.